CCUACGGGUGGCUGCAGUAAGGAAUAUUGGUCAAUGGACGCAAGUCUGAACCAGCCAUGCCGCGUGGAGGAUGAAGGUCCUCUGGAUUGUAAACUUCUUUUAUUUGGGAAGAAACUCCCGAUUUCCAUCGGGAUUGACGGUACCAGAUGAAUAAGCACCGGCUAACUCCGUGCCAGCAGCCGCGGUAAUACGGAGGGUGCCGGCGUUAUCGGGAUUAAAGGGGUCGAAGGUGGGCAGGUAAGUCAGGGGAGAAAUCUCCGGGCUUAACCCGGAAACUGCCAUUGAUACUAUUUGUCUUGAAUACUCUGGAGGUGAGCGGAAUAUGUCAUGUAGCGGUGAAAUGCUUAGAUAUGGCAUAGAACACCCAUUGCGAAGGCAGCUCACUACGGAAAUAUUGACGCUGAGGCACGAAAGCGUGGGGAUCAAAUAGGAUUAGAUACCCUAGUAGUC
This 450-nucleotide ribosomal RNA is filed under the name uncultured bacterium. RNAcentral's name for it is "partial 16S ribosomal RNA". It matches the Rfam family "Bacterial small subunit ribosomal RNA", at positions 338 to 795 of the family's 1533-position model. The record is from RNAcentral.